ACUACAUGUACAGGAUAGGUGGGAGGCUUUGAAACCAGGACGACAGUUUUGGCGGAGCCAUCCUUGGGAUACCACCCUUGUAGUACUGGGACUCUAACCAUAGGCCAUGAAUCUGGUCUUGGGACACUGUCAGGUGGGCAGUUUGACUGGGGCGGUCGCCUCCCAACAGGUAACGGAGGCGCUCAAAGGGUCUCUCAGUACGGUCGGGAAUCGUACGUAGAGUGUACAGGCAAACGAGAGCUUGCUUGCAAGACAUACAGGUCGAGCAAGGAUGAAAAUCGGACUUAGUGAUCCGGUGGUUCUGCGUGGAAGGGCCAUCGCUCAACGGAUAAAAG
Molecule: ribosomal RNA, 335 nt
Filed under: Clostridioides difficile
Lineage: Bacteria; Bacillati; Bacillota; Clostridia; Peptostreptococcales; Peptostreptococcaceae
Description: bacterial LSU rRNA
Rfam family: Bacterial large subunit ribosomal RNA
Source: RNAcentral